GUACCUAUGACAUAUAACUUAUUUAGGAGUCAGUGUCUUACUCACCCCUGUGUUCUGCAGCUUUCCCCUCAUAUUUCUCUAUGUUUGCAAAGUGGUGUUGGCUAAAAGAAAUGUGUCCCAGGGAACCCAGAUGCUCGAGGAAGAAAAGGUUCUCUCGCGGAAUAGUUUGAGAAGUGCUGCGUACUCUCUCCACUCCUUGCAGAUUUACAAUUUCCUAUUUUGUGCAGAUACCCACCCUCUGCCAUGUACCAUACAUGCCUCAGGGGACACUGAGCUCUGUUUAGCUGUAGUAAGCCAAGGGUGACCACAUCUUGCUCGUGAUUUGCUGGGAAUCUUCCUAUCUUCUUGUUUCUACAACUUUCACCUUUGUGCAUCCGCUACCAGCCUUUGUCUUCUGGCAUGAUUUGCACCCAGACUUAUCCAGCAUUGCGAUGUAACCCUCCUCAAAUCAUAGAGUCGAUGACAAAGAACGAGGUGAAAAAUAAAACAUUUAAGAUCCAAAGGUCAGAGCAGAGUUUUCUAAGAUGGCAGUCUACAUGUCACAAAAACUUUGCAUAAGAGUAAUUUCACAAAUGUGAAAUACGUUUUCUCAAUGCCACACCACACCUCACUCCCCAAG
This 619-nucleotide long non-coding RNA is filed under the name Equus caballus (horse). RNAcentral's name for it is "lncRNA (ENSECAG00000036630.3)". Lineage: Eukaryota; Metazoa; Chordata; Mammalia; Perissodactyla; Equidae. The record is from RNAcentral.